UACGUAGGGGGCAAGCGUUGUCCGGAUUUAUUGGGCGUAAAGAGCGUGUAGGCGGCUUUGCAAGUCCGUUGUGAAAACUCGAGGCUCAACCUCGAGACGCCGGUGGAAACUGCAAAGCUAGAGUCCGGAAGAGGAGAGUGGAAUUCCUGGUGUAGCGGUGAAAUGCGUAGAUAUCAGGAGGAACACCGGUGGCGAAGGCGGCCCUCUGGACGGAUACUGACGCUGAGGCGCGAAAGCGUGGGGAUCAAACAGG
RNAcentral lists this ribosomal RNA (253 nucleotides) under uncultured bacterium. RNAcentral describes it as "partial 16S ribosomal RNA". It matches the Rfam family "Bacterial small subunit ribosomal RNA", at positions 524 to 776 of the family's 1533-position model. The record is from RNAcentral.